This 100-nucleotide microRNA precursor is filed under the name Caenorhabditis remanei. RNAcentral describes it as "block3492". Lineage: Eukaryota; Metazoa; Nematoda; Chromadorea; Rhabditida; Rhabditidae. The record is from RNAcentral.
UAAAACUGAUAGUUGAAGUUGAGCUCAGUCUUUCGCGUGUAUCUGAAUCAUAGUUUGAUACAUACGAACGGGUGAGUUCCACUUUCAAACUUUCAAUUUU